AAUAUUGGUCAAUGGACGCAAGUCUGAACCAGCCAUGCCGCGUGGAGGAUGAAGGUCCUCUGGAUUGUAAACUUCUUUUAUCUGGGACGAAACACUCCUAUUCUUAGGGGCCUGACGGUACCAGAUGAAUAAGCACCGGCUAACUCCGUGCCAGCAGCCGCGGUAAUACGGAGGGUGCAAGCGUUAUCCGGAUUCACUGGGUUUAAAGGGUGCGUAGGUGGGUAUGUAAGUCAGUGGUGAAAUCCCCGAGCUUAACUUGGGAACUGCCGUUGAUACUAUAUAUCUUGAAUGUCGUAGAGGUAAGCGGAAUAUGUCAUGUAGCGGUGAAAUGCUUAGAGAUGACAUAGAACACCAAUUGCGAAGGCAGCUUGCUAUGCGAUUAUUGACACUGAGGCACGAAAGCGUGGGUAGCAAACAGG
RNAcentral lists this ribosomal RNA (419 nucleotides) under uncultured bacterium. RNAcentral's name for it is "bacterial SSU rRNA". It matches the Rfam family "Bacterial small subunit ribosomal RNA", at positions 360 to 776 of the family's 1533-position model. The record is from RNAcentral.